RNAcentral lists this long non-coding RNA (302 nucleotides) under Canis lupus dingo (dingo). RNAcentral describes it as "lncRNA (ENSCAFG00020023424.1)". Lineage: Eukaryota; Metazoa; Chordata; Mammalia; Carnivora; Canidae. The record is from RNAcentral.
GUCGUCCGUGGGCCGGCAGUGGUGAGAGUGGCGUGAAGUAUUUCAGGUUAACACUGUGUCAAGAGUAACGAAGACUGCCAUGUUUACUUAGAUUCUUAAAUUGCACUGAAGUGAUCGUGGCACUAAAUUUUGCAUCAGACAUCGCUCUCCCAGGAUGGCAGCCAUUGAUUUGACGCAUGAUCUUUCUAGAGAUCCUUUUUUUCUUCCUGAGGUAAACACAGAGACAGAAAAGAUGGUAGCUGUCUGGCUGAAAAAUUAUCAUCAGGUAAUUUUAAAGAAGCAUAUCAGUCAACAGAAUGAAU